Molecule: ribosomal RNA, 1030 nt
Filed under: groundwater metagenome
Description: bacterial SSU rRNA
Rfam family: Bacterial small subunit ribosomal RNA
Source: RNAcentral
AGAGUUUGAUCCUAGCUCAGGAUGAACGCUGGCGGCGUGGAUAAGGCAUGCAAGUCGAGGGGGCGCAACAUAAAGGCCGGUAUGAAGUAUAAAGUAUGAAGUAUAAAGUAUGAGAUGCAAGAAUUUUGUAUCUAUACUUAAUACCUUAUACCCCAUACCUUAUACUUGCCUUUAUGUUGCGUCACCGGCAGACGAGGUAGUAACACGUAGGAACGAACCGCGAAGUCAGGGACAACCCAUCGAAAGAUGGGCUAAUACUUGAUAGUCUCGUAAGAGUAAAGAUUUAUCGCUUCGUGAUCGGCCUGCGGAAUAUCAGCUAGUUGGCGGUGUAAUAGACCACCAAGGCUAUGACGUUUAGGAGAGCUGAGAGGCUGACCUCCACCGAUGGGACUGCGACACGGCCCAUACACCUACGGGUGGCUGCAGUCGAGAAUCUUCCACAAUGGACGAAAGUCUGAUGGAGCGACACCGCGUGACUGAUGAAGUCUUUCGGGAUGUAAAGGUCUUUUAUGAGGGAUGACAUAGCGACAGUACCUCAUGAAUAAGGGGCUGCUAAUCACGUGCCAGCAGCAGCGGUAAAACGUGAGCCCCGAGCGUUAUCCGGAAUUACUGGGCGUAAAGAGUGCGUAGGCGGUCGUGUUAGUCUCUUGCUAAAUCCAUCGGCUCAACCGGUGAACUCCAAGGGAAACGGCACGACUAGAGUGUGUGAGAGGUAUGCGGAACUUAUCAUGUAGGGGUGAAAUCCGUUGAUAUGAUGGGGAACACCAAAUGCGAAGGCAGCAUACUGGCGCAUCACUGACGCUGAGGCACGAAAGCGUAGGUAGCGAAUGGGAUUAGAUACCCCAGUAGUCUACGCUGUAAACGAUGAUCUCUCGCUUUUCGGAGUAUCGACCCUCUGAGAGGCUAAGCUAACGCGUUAAGAGAUCCGCCUGGGUAGUACGAUCGCAAGAUUAAAACUCAAAGGAAUAGACGGGGACUUGCACAAGCGGUGGAUUAUGUGGUUUAAUUCGAUGGUACACGAAAAACCUUA